Molecule: non-coding RNA, 18 nt
Filed under: Arabidopsis thaliana (thale cress)
Lineage: Eukaryota; Viridiplantae; Streptophyta; Magnoliopsida; Brassicales; Brassicaceae
Source: RNAcentral
UAAGUCCAACAUAGCGUA